UGGCAACGUGCAAGAGAUGGUGAUCCAGGU
Molecule: non-coding RNA, 30 nt
Filed under: Rattus norvegicus (Norway rat)
Lineage: Eukaryota; Metazoa; Chordata; Mammalia; Rodentia; Muridae
Source: RNAcentral